This 612-nucleotide ribosomal RNA is filed under the name Triticum aestivum (bread wheat). Its description in RNAcentral is "partial small subunit ribosomal RNA". The record is from RNAcentral. Lineage: Eukaryota; Viridiplantae; Streptophyta; Magnoliopsida; Poales; Poaceae.
AUGGGUGCGCUUGCUCCUGAUACGUGGCCCAAUGGCGAUAUUCCAUUUUGGUGGGCCUUGUCGGCCUGGCGUAUCUAUGAACAAUACGUCCGUGGGCAUACAUACGGUACAAAAAACGCUCGAGGCAGAGGAGACCUUAUGGCGACGGCGGAGGAGACCGGCGACGGGCUGGAGUGUCUCUCAGAUCCGGUCGACAGGUUUCCCCUGCCGGAUCUUGAAGGCACAGAUUUCAGCCCGGAUGGCGAGGAAGAUACUAUUCUCACACAAUCGGCUGCUGAAUCAAGCAUGGGGGAUGUUGGCGAUCCGGUGCCUGCUCUCCAAUUAGCCAUCGACAGUACGUGCGAUGCACUAAUCUUACUAACGACAAAUUCGCAAUGCUCAGCUAAAGAAGAAGGCGAUGAAGCGACCGGAUGGGCAAAAAGCAGAGUUCGAGUCGGGCAAGCUCCUAUUGAACGUCCGCCUUGUGCGGGGAGGGUUUCCGCUCUUGAAAAAAGUCUCAGAGGAUAUGCAGAGAAGAAAACUGAGACAGUGGUGGUACCAGCUGUUGGAAACAGCUUUGAUUCAUUGGGAGAAGCAUACGACUACUGCAAUCUAUAUUCUUGGGAAAUAUGA